RNAcentral lists this ribosomal RNA (478 nucleotides) under uncultured bacterium. Its description in RNAcentral is "partial 16S ribosomal RNA". It matches the Rfam family "Bacterial small subunit ribosomal RNA", at positions 28 to 507 of the family's 1533-position model. The record is from RNAcentral.
GAUGAACGCUGGCGGCGUGCUUAACACAUGCAAGUCGAACGGGAAUUCUUUUAUUGCAACUUCGGUCGAUUUAAUUUAAUUCUAGUGGCGGACGGGUGAGUAACGCGUGGGUAACCUGCCUUAUACAGGGGGAUAACAGUCAGAAAUGGCUGCUAAUACCGCAUAAGCGCACAGAGCUGCAUGGCUCAGUGUGAAAAACUCCGGUGGUAUAAGAUGGACCCACGUUGGAUUAGCUGGUUGGUGGGGUAACGGCCCACCAAGGCGACGAUCCAUAGCCGGCCUGAGAGGGUGAACGGGCACAUUGGGACUGAGACACGGCCCAGACUCCUACGGGAGGGAGCAGUGGGGAAUAUUGCACAAUGGGGGAAAACCUGAUGCAGCGACGCCGCGUGAAGGAAGAAGUAUCUCGGUAUGUAAACUUCUAUCAGCAGGGAAGAUAGUGACGGUACCUGACGAAGAAGCCCCGGCUAACUACGUG